RNAcentral lists this transfer RNA (72 nucleotides) under Cardisoma armatum. RNAcentral describes it as "tRNA-Met". It matches the Rfam family "tRNA". From Rfam's summary of the family: Transfer RNA (tRNA) molecules are approximately 80 nucleotides in length. RNAcentral also lists the same sequence under 3 other names. Lineage: Eukaryota; Metazoa; Arthropoda; Malacostraca; Decapoda; Gecarcinidae. The record is from RNAcentral.
UAAAAGAUAAGCUAACAUUCAAGCUAAUGGGCUCAUACCCCGUAAAUGAAAGUAUAAAUCUUUCUCUUUUUA